GGUUCCAUAGAGUAGUGGUUAGCAUAUCUGCUUUACACACAAAAGGUCCUGGGUUCAAGCCCCAGCAGAGCCA
Molecule: transfer RNA, 73 nt
Filed under: Pteropus alecto (black flying fox)
Lineage: Eukaryota; Metazoa; Chordata; Mammalia; Chiroptera; Pteropodidae
Rfam family: tRNA
About the family: Transfer RNA (tRNA) molecules are approximately 80 nucleotides in length. Their secondary structure includes four short double-helical elements and three loops (D, anti-codon, and T loops).
Source: Rfam by way of RNAcentral